Molecule: ribosomal RNA, 504 nt
Filed under: uncultured bacterium
Lineage: Bacteria
Description: partial 16S ribosomal RNA
Rfam family: Bacterial small subunit ribosomal RNA
Source: RNAcentral
GACGAACGCUGGCGGCGCGCCUAAUACAUGCAAGUAGAACGCACAGUUUAUACCGUAGCUUGCUACACCAUAGACUGUGAGUUGCGAACGGGUGAGUAACGCGUAGGUAACCUGCCUGGUAGCGGGGGAUAACUAUUGGAAACGAUAGCUAAUACCGCAUAAUAUUAAUUAUUGCAUGAUAAUUAAUUGAAAGGUGCAAUUGCACCACUACCAGAUGGACCUGCGUUGUAUUAGCUAGUAGGUGAGGUAACGGCUCACCUAGGCGACGAUACAUAGCCGACCUGAGAGGGUGAUCGGCCACACUGGGACUGAGACACGGCCCAGACUCCUACGGGAGGCAGCAGUAGGGAAUCUUCGGCAAUGGACGAAAGUCUGACCGAGCAACGCCGCGUGAGUGAAGAAGGUUUUCGGAUCGUAAAGCUCUGUUGUAAGAGAAGAACGGGUGUGAGAGUGGAAAGUUCACACUGUGACGGUAUCUUACCAGAAAGGGACGGCUAACUACGU